Molecule: ribosomal RNA, 731 nt
Filed under: uncultured bacterium
Lineage: Bacteria
Description: bacterial SSU rRNA
Rfam family: Bacterial small subunit ribosomal RNA
Source: RNAcentral
AACAGGAUUAGAUACCCUGGUAGUCCACGCUGUAGACGAUGUCGACUUGGAGGUUGUUCCCUUGAGGAGUGGCUUCCGGAGCUAACGCGUUAAGUCGACCGCCUGGGGAGUACGGCCGCAUGGUUAAAACUCAAAUGAAUUGACGGGGGCCCGCACAAGCGGUGGAGCAUGUGGUUUAAUUCGAUGCAACGCGAAGAACCUUACCUACUCUUGACAUCCAGAGAACUUAGCAGAGAUGCUUUGGUGCCUUCGGGAACUCUGAGACAGGUGCUGCAUGGCUGUCGUCAGCUCGUGUUGUGAAAUGUUGGGUUAAGUCCCGCAACGAGCGCAACCCUUAUCCUUUGUUGCCAGCGGUCCGGCCGGGAACUCAAAGGAGACUGCCAGUGAUAAACUGGAGGAAGGUGGGGAUGACGUCAAGUCAUCAUGGCCCUUACGAGUAGGGCUACACACGUGCUACAAUGGCAUAUACAAAGAGAAGCGACCUCGCGAGAGCAAGCGGACCUCAUAAAGUAUGUCGUAGUCCGGAUUGGAGUCUGCAACUCGACUCCAUGAAGUCGGAAUCGCUAGUAAUCGUGGAUCAGAAUGCCACGGUGAAUACGUUCCCGGGCCUUGUACACACCGCCCGUCACACCAUGGGAGUGGGUUGCAAAAGAAGUAGGUAGCUUAACCUUCGGGAGGGCGCUUACCACUUUGUGAUUCAUGACUGGGGGUGAAGUCGUAACAAGGUAACC